UGAGGAAUAUUGGGCAAUGCCCGCAAGGGUGACCCAGCAACGCCGCGUGGAGGAUGAAUGUCGUAAGAUUGUAAACUCCUGUUAGAGGGGAAGAAUAGUACCGGUUGGACCGGUAUAUGACUGUACCCUCAGAGAAAGCCCCGGCUAACUACGUGCCAGCAGCCGCGGUAAUACGUAGGGGGCAAGCGUUGUCCGGAUUUACUGGGUGUAAGGGCGCGCAGGCGGAAUGGAAAGUCAGUGGUGAAAUCCUACAGCUUAACUGUAGAACUGCCUUUGAUACUUUCAUUCUUGAGUUCGGGAGAGAGAGACGGAAUUCCAGGUGUAGUGGUGAAAUACGUAGAUAUCUGGAAGAACACCAGUUGCGAAGGCGGUCUCUUGGUCCGAUACUGACGCUGAGGCGCGAAAGCGUGGGGAGCAAACA
RNAcentral lists this ribosomal RNA (421 nucleotides) under uncultured bacterium. RNAcentral's name for it is "bacterial SSU rRNA". It matches the Rfam family "Bacterial small subunit ribosomal RNA", at positions 355 to 774 of the family's 1533-position model. The record is from RNAcentral.